RNAcentral lists this transfer RNA (72 nucleotides) under Marmota monax (woodchuck). It matches the Rfam family "tRNA". Rfam says of the family: Transfer RNA (tRNA) molecules are approximately 80 nucleotides in length. Their secondary structure includes four short double-helical elements and three loops (D, anti-codon, and T loops). The record is from Rfam by way of RNAcentral. Lineage: Eukaryota; Metazoa; Chordata; Mammalia; Rodentia; Sciuridae. RNAcentral also lists the same sequence under 2 other names.
UGUGUUGUGGCUCAGUGGUAAAGCACUUGCCUCACAUGUGUGAGGCACUGAGUUCGAUCCUCAGCACCACAU